AGGGGUGUAGCUUGGUGGUAGAGCAUUUGCUUAGCAUGCAAAGUCCUGAGUUCAAUCUCCAACACCACUG
This 70-nucleotide transfer RNA is filed under the name Heterocephalus glaber (naked mole-rat). It matches the Rfam family "tRNA". From Rfam's summary of the family: Transfer RNA (tRNA) molecules are approximately 80 nucleotides in length. Their secondary structure includes four short double-helical elements and three loops (D, anti-codon, and T loops). The record is from Rfam by way of RNAcentral. Lineage: Eukaryota; Metazoa; Chordata; Mammalia; Rodentia; Bathyergidae.